This 468-nucleotide ribosomal RNA is filed under the name uncultured bacterium. RNAcentral describes it as "partial 16S ribosomal RNA". It matches the Rfam family "Bacterial small subunit ribosomal RNA", at positions 28 to 507 of the family's 1533-position model. The record is from RNAcentral.
GACGAACGCUGGCGGCGUGCUUAACACAUGCAAGUCGAACGGAAAGGCCCUGCUUUUGUGGGGUGCUCGAGUGGCGAACGGGUGAGUAACACGUGAGUAACCUGCCCUUGACUUUGGGAUAACUUCAGGAAACUGGGGCUCAUACCGGAUAGGAGCUCCUGCUGCAUGGUGGGGGUUGGAAAGUUUCGGCGGUUGGGGAUGGACUCGCGGCGUAUCAGCUUGUUGGUGGGGUAGUGGCUUACCAAGGCUUUGACGGGUAGCCGGCCUGAGAGGGUGACCGGCCACAUUGGGACUGAGAUACGGCCCAGACUCCUACGGGAGGCAGCGGUGGGGAAGAUUGCACAAUGGGCGGAAGCCUGAUGCAGCAACGCCGCGUGCGGGAUGACGGCCUUCGGGUUGUAAACCGCUUUCGCCUGUGACGAAGCGUGAGUGACGGUAAUGGGUAAAGAAGCACCGGCUAACUACGUG